RNAcentral lists this transfer RNA (79 nucleotides) under Escherichia coli. Its description in RNAcentral is "tRNA-Lys". It matches the Rfam family "tRNA". Rfam says of the family: Transfer RNA (tRNA) molecules are approximately 80 nucleotides in length. Their secondary structure includes four short double-helical elements and three loops (D, anti-codon, and T loops). The record is from RNAcentral. Lineage: Bacteria; Pseudomonadati; Pseudomonadota; Gammaproteobacteria; Enterobacterales; Enterobacteriaceae.
GGGUCGUUAGCUCAGUUGGUGGUAGAGCAGUUGACUUUUAAUCAAUUGGUCGCAGGUUCGAAUCCUGCACGACCCACCA